GUGGGGAAUAUUGGACAAUGGGGGCAACCCUGAUCCAGCAAUUCUGUGUGCAUGAAGAAGGUUUUCGGAUUGUAAAGUGCUUUCAGCAGGGAAGAAGAAAGUGACGGUACCUGCAGAAGAAGCGACGGCUAAAUACGUGCCAGCAGCCGCGGUAAUACGUAUGUCGCAAGCGUUAUCCGGAAUUAUUGGGCAUAAAGGGCAUCUAGGCGGCCCUGUAAGUCUAGGGUGAAAACCUGCGGCUCAACCGCAGGCCUGCCCCGGAAACUACAGGGCUAGAGUAUCGGAGAGGUGGACGGAACUGCACGAGUAGAGGUGAAAUUCGUAGAUAUGUGCAGGAAUGCCGAUGAUGAAGAUAGUUCACUGGACGGUAACUGACGCUGAAGUGCGAAAGCUAGGGGAGCAAACAGGAUUAGAAACCCGGGUAGUCC
This 428-nucleotide ribosomal RNA is filed under the name uncultured bacterium. Its description in RNAcentral is "partial 16S ribosomal RNA". It matches the Rfam family "Bacterial small subunit ribosomal RNA", at positions 354 to 796 of the family's 1533-position model. The record is from RNAcentral.